AUCGCUAAACAUAUAUGUACAUUACCCCAAUCCCAAAGGGAUCAAAACAACAUUGAGAGCGCACUCUCGAAGAAACUAGUGAAACUAUGAGCACGAACGCCCGGCGCUGCUCUUGGGCCGUCCGCCUCCCAGGUGACUCCACCGCGGAGCUUGAAGCCACCUGCUUCGCCUUGCCACUCCUCCACUCGGUCACAAUGAUGUCAGGCCAGACGAACACCAUGUCGAUCUAGCUCGACGUCGUCGCAGCCAAGCGGUCCAACUCGAGCACGAUGACCCGGCGUCGCUCAUGGGUCACUCGCCUCCAAGGUGACUCCACUGCACAAGCUGAAGCCACCUGUUACGCCCCAAGACGUGAUGCUGUGUCUUGGAGCGCCUACCUCCCCAGUGUACUUCCAACACUAAGUCGGUGCCCAUUGCGAACAAACUCCAAGGCGUAGAACAAGCGAGGUGUGAGCCUCCUCCAGCUCUAGACUAGAGCGUGCUACCUUGCCUCCCACACUAGACAAGUGCGCUGGCCCCCUUCAAUGAUAUACGAGCCCCCGUUGACUUACUAUAUCGCAACACAAGCAACUUAUCCCCCGUAAGGGUGUAUCCGACUUCCCUAUGCUAUUAAGAAGUCUUGGGUAGCUACCUUCUACCCGUUUAGGGUUUAGGGUUUAGGGUUUUAGGGUUUAGGGUUUAGGUUUAGGGUUUAGGGUUUAGGGUUUAGGCGCGUUUAGGGUUUAGGCGCGUUUAGGCGUUUAGGGUCAAAGACACCCCGUGGUGUUGCAAUCCGGCGAGAUCGCUAAACAUAUAUGUACAUUACCCCAAUCCCAAAGGGAUGAAAACAACAUUGAGAGCGCACUCUCGAAGAAACUAGUGAAACUAUGAGCACGAACGCCCGGCGCUGCUCUUGGGCCGUCCGCCUCCCAGGUGACUCCACCGCGGAGCUUGAAGCCACCUGCUUCACCUUGCCACUCCUCCACUCGGUCGCAAUGAUGUCAGGCCAGACGAACACCAUGUCGAUCUAGCUCGACAUCGUCGCAGCCAAGCGGUCCAACUCGAGCACGAUGACCCGGCGUCGCUCAUGGGUCACUCGCCUCCAAGGUGACUCCACUGCACAAGCUGAAGCCACCUGUUAGCAAUCCGGCGAGAUCGCUAAACAUAUAUGUACAUUACCCCAAUCCCAAAGGGAUCAAAACUACAUUGAGAGCGCACUCUCGAAGAAACUAGUGAAACUAUGAGCGCGAACGCCCGGCGCUGCUCUUGGGCCGUCCGCCUCCCAGGUGACUCCACCGCGGAGCUUGAAGCCACCUGCUUUGCCUCGCCACUCCUCCACUCGAUCACAAUGAUGCCAAGCCAGACGAACACCAUGUCGAUCUAGCUCGACGUCGUCGCAGCCAAGCGGUCCAACUCGAGCACGAUGACCCAGCGUCGCUCAUGGGUCACUCGCCUCCAAGGUGACUCCACUGCACAAGCUGAAGCCACCUGUUACGCCCCAAGACGUGAUGCUGUGUCUUGGAGCGCCUACCUCCCCAGUGUACUUCCAGCACUAAGUCAGUGCCCAUUGCGAACAGACUCCAAGGCGUAGAACAAGCAAGGUGUGAGCCUCCUCCAGCUUUAGACUAAAGCGUGCUACCUUGCCUCCCACACUAGACAAGUGCGCUGGCCCCCUUCAAUGAUAUACGAGCCCCCGUUGCCGGCAUCACGACAAUCACAAGACUUGCAAGCCUCCGCAAACCUCCUCAAAGGACUAGCCCUGAAGCAAGAACCAUGUGGGAUUCCCUCCGCGAGCAAACCAACUCGGCCAUCCGCCACUGGCCCCCUUUGUGACAGCACUUCCCUGUCACUAGAUCCAAAAAUGCACCCAUAGUGUCUUCCACGUCCAUCCACCACGGACACUUCGCUAUGUCGGGAUGUCGUCCCGAACUGUCCUCCACCAGUCAACAAAGUUCCCAUGACUUGGUCGUGUUUCCACGACUCAAGUCGCCAAGAAUCGAUUACUCCAAGUCCUCCCAAGACUCGCGGACAUGCUGUAGAUUGCCACGCGACCUUGGCCAUGCUCCUCCCUGUGACCAGAGCGCCCCGCCACAAAUACUGACGGACCAUCGUGCGUACCUUUCUAAGAGUGCGUUCUGGAACAGGCCAGAUGGAGAGGUGGUACCAGAUGCCAAGCAGAAUGAUGCUCCUAGCGACUACCACUCUCGCUGGCAAGCCGAGUUUCCGGGGAGCCCACUUCUGGAUUGACGUUCGUACCCGUCGGAGCAAGGUGUCAUCCUGAAGUGCUGCACUGAACCGAGUACCAACCUGGAUCCCCAGGUACCUAGCGUCUUCUCCUGGUUUGAGCCACUGGAAGCCAAUGUCCUGCCCCCAAGAUUCGAUGCCUGGUCGCCCCCAAUUUAUGCCCACUGAUUUGUUCCAGUUAAUUGCUGCACCAGCCGCGAGGUUGAACGUCUCCAGCGCCUUCUUAGCUGCAUCCAUGUUCUCCUUAGUCGCAAGUAGGAACAAGGCAGUGUCGUCCGCAAAAGCACCAUCAAGGAGUUCCCGAGACACCCUUGUGGUUCCCGGAAGUUGCUGUCUCGCAGCCGGCAGUGUGAGUCCUUUAAUGCGUCCGCCUUCCGCUAGAAACGUGCCCAGGGCCUCAGCCACAAUCAGAAAAAGAUAGGGUGCUAGUGGACACCCUUGGCGUACUGAACGUCCCAGCUGGAAACUCGGUCCCGUCUCGCCAUUGAUUGUGACUCUGCUUGUGGCUCCUCGGUACAGUAACGAGAUCCUAGUGACCAUCUCUCUCGGGAUGCCGAUCGUGUUCAUGCACUCCUCUAGGAACCUCCAGUCCACCCGAUCGUAGGCCUUCUCGAAGUCCAAAAGCCAUGCUGCAGUUUGUUGGUUAGAGAUCUCUGCCCAUCUCUGAGCCAGCAGGUACGUCCAGAUGUUUUCUGCGAUUUGCCGCCCUGGAACAAACCCUGUCUGCUGCUCCCGGAUGAUCAGCGGCAUGACAGCUUGGAGCUUGAGGGUCAUUGCUUUGGCAUAGACCUUGUAGGACGUGUUGAGCAUGGUGAUUGGCCUCCAAUUCUUCAGCUCCUGCAGGUCCCCCCUCUUUGGAAUAAGCGCAAUCUGGCCCUCAAGGAUCUCGCGAGGCAAGGUCCCAUCACGUUGAGCAUCCCACCAUGCUUGUAGCAGCAGCGGGCCUAUGGUCUCCCAGUGCUCCUCGAAGAAAAUGGGCAAGAGGCCAUCGAUACCUGGCUGCUUGUCGUUGCUGAGCUUCCUGAGCGCUUCCCGAAGCUCCUCCAGUGUGAAGUCCGUCUUCAGUGAGUCGUGCCACUCAUGGGGGACUCGCUGGGGAAGGGACGCAAGCACUUCCACCGCCGCCCUUUCCCUCUCUGGAGUCCACUGCUGGGCCGUAUAUAGAAGUUGGUAAAACUCCUGGGCGAGCUGUUGCAUCCCCUGUUGGUCCUCGAUGACUCGCCCGUCACUGUGCUUCAGUCCUAGAAUGGGAGGAGAGUCCGUCACUGGCCUGAUUCCCCUAAAGAAAGCCUUGUUGAGAAGGCGUUCAUUCAGGGCCCAUCCAUCUUCCAUGGCCCGGACGCCCUUGCUCCAUGCAGCGUACUCCAUGUCACGUAGCUCGGCUUCACGUUCAUCCAGUAUUGUUUGCCACUUGAACUCAUCUUGCGUGUUCAGCAACAUCCUGUGUGCUGCUGCGACCUUCUUCCUGGCCAGUCUAAGGUCCUUCAUCACCACCCCUUUGAGAUCCUUCUGGCGCGCCCGGAGCUUCUGUGAGCAAGACAAGAGCACAGGGAUCAGUCCCAGCUUGUUCUGCGCAAGAGCGUCGUGUAUAAGCCCAAUUGCCACCGGGUCUCGCAGCGUGGCUCUAGUGAUUGAUCGCUGGACCGCUGUCCCUUUGUCCCUUUGGAGCUGGAUCACGCAUCUGAGGGGGUCGUGAUCUGAGAAGGAGGCAAAUCCCAGCCACGUUUUUAGGCUUCCCCCAUCCUGCCGUAUGCGAGACGAGGCGUAAAUCCGGUCCAGUCUCGACUGGGAGGAUACUGUCUGUCGCCUUGUAAAAGGGUGAGCAUGAGGUGCGAAUCCCGCAGCAUGCUGAAGGUCCAUGAGCCCCAGUAUGUCCAUGAGCUGACUCCACUGCUUCUGUUCACGUGGCUGAAUUGUUUCCUGCAUACCCCUGCGAUCACAGACGUCCUCGACCAUGUUGAAAUCUCCCAGGACCAGCCAUUCAUCUGCUUGCCCCUGGGCAGACUGUAACACACUCAGCCAGAAUUCUGCACGUCUCCCUUUCUUCGUUGGUGCAUAGACGUUGAUUAUCCCCACCCGUCCAAAGUGGAGGUGAAGGACAAGCAAUUGAGCCUUUCCUGGGACGAGAACAAGGUGGUUUCGUACCUGAGCAGACCAUUUGGUGGAGACUACCACUGCUGUGCCCCCUCCUGGUCUGGCCACUGCUUGCGUGGCCGGGUUCCACCAGAGCCGUCCCCUCAUUCCAAAGGUGUAGUCUGGGGCCACAGUCAUUUUGUGCUCUUGCAAGCAUAGGAUGUCGAUAUCACCUUCUAAGCUGAUCUCCCGGAUGUGGGACUUGAGCUGCGCCCUUUUGUUGAGUCGACUGCCGGUCCAGCUGAGUCCCCGGCAGUUCCAGGUGACGAGCGUGAGAGUUGUCAUGGAGCCACGUACUUCCAAGAAAGUGAGGAGUUACGGGGUCUCGCCCUCCAUUCUGUGGAGAUGGUCCACACCGCAGUCAUCUUCCCCCUGUGCUUCGUCCAGGAGAAGCCUCGGACAGUGUACUUCGCAAAGCCCGUCCACUCAGUGAUAGCACUCUCCAUGCGUGUGUGGUAGUCUCCAAUAGUGACAACCUCUGGGAAGGCUGUGUUCCCGCGGCACAUCAGCCAGUCUCCCGCCUCUGUGGGACUUAAUUCCCGCUUAGGGGGAAUCCACCUGACCGCCAUUCCUACUGUUCGAGGGAGGACCAGUUUAGGGUUUAGGGUUUAGGAGGUGGAGGAGGCGGCGGCGGCGCGCGGCGAAUUGGGAGCUCUUCCAGAACCACUUGGCGUAGAGGUGGAGCGAGAGGAUGAAGAGGAUGACCGAGAAGAGGACGACAAUGGCGGCAAUCAUGAUCUUGAUGUUCACCUGGUAGGGAUUGGAGUCGCUGCUGCUGGCGAUGGCGCUGGAGCUGCUGCCGCUGGGAUCCAUUGGCGAUUCAACGCCCAUUUCUCUCUCCCUCUCGAUCGAUCGACCGCCAAAUGGGAGAAAUGGAAGAAUGAGAGGGAUUGGGAGAAAGGAGUCGACCUAAAAUGUCACGACACAGAGCAUUGGGCCAAAAUUGUCAACUGGCAUUUCCAAGGUCUCUCUCUCGUCCAAGUGUGUUGAUUUCUUCGUCGCGGUGACGGGCGGCCCUUCCAAUGGCCGGCUCGUCUCGCCUAUCUCGCCCGUCGCGCCAUCCACCUGACGGGCCCCGACGAGUCAACAUUUCACCGUACGCGCGUGGUUCCCCUGGUGGCCCGGUGGAAAGAGCGCUGGGGUCUUAAAGUGCCACCGAAUCGGCGGNNNNNNNNNNNNNNNNNNNNNNNNNNNNNNNNNNNNNNNNNNNNNNNNNNNNNNNNNNNNNNNNNNNNNNNNNNNNNNNNNNNNNNNNNNNNNNNNNNNNCCCUAAACCCUAAACCCCAAUCCGGCGAGAUCGCUAAACAUAUAUGUACAUUACCCCAAUCCCAAAGGGAUCAAAACUACAUUGAGAGCGCACUCUCGAAGAAACUAGUGAAACUAUGAGCUCGAACGCCCGGCGCUGCUCUUGGGCCGUCCGCCUCCCAGGUGACUCCACCGCGGAGCUUGAAGCCACCUGCUUCGCCUCGCCACUCCUCCACUCGAUCACAAUGAUGCCAAGCCAGACGAACACCAUGUCGAUC
RNAcentral lists this long non-coding RNA (5879 nucleotides) under Selaginella moellendorffii. Its description in RNAcentral is "long non-coding RNA (SMOE_LNC002294)". Lineage: Eukaryota; Viridiplantae; Streptophyta; Lycopodiopsida; Selaginellales; Selaginellaceae. The record is from RNAcentral.